Molecule: ribosomal RNA, 78 nt
Filed under: Pectinatus cerevisiiphilus
Lineage: Bacteria; Bacillati; Bacillota; Negativicutes; Selenomonadales; Selenomonadaceae
Also listed under: 1 other name
Description: Bacterial small subunit ribosomal RNA
Rfam family: Bacterial small subunit ribosomal RNA
Source: Rfam by way of RNAcentral
UCUAAGGUGGGGGCGAUGAUUGGGGUGAAGUCGUAACAAGGUAGCCGUAUCGGAAGGUGCGGCUGGAUCACCUCCUUU